This 78-nucleotide small RNA is filed under the name Marmota monax (woodchuck). The record is from RNAcentral. Lineage: Eukaryota; Metazoa; Chordata; Mammalia; Rodentia; Sciuridae.
GCUGGGUGUGGUGGUGUACACCUGUAAUCCCAGCAGCUGGGGAGGCUGAGGCACUAAGCCACUCUGUGAGAGCCUGUC